GAUGAACGCUGGCGGCGUGCCUAAUACAUGCAAGUCGAGCGAACAGACGAGGAGCUUGCUCCUCUGACGUUAGCGGCGGACGGGUGAGUAACACGUGGAUAACCUACCUAUAAGACUGGGAUAACUGCGGGAAACCGGAGCUAAUACCGGAUAAUAUAUUGAACCGCAUGGUUCAAUAGUGAAAGCCGGUUUUGCUGUCACUUAUAGAUGGAUCCGCGCCGCAUUAGCUAGUUGGUAAGGUAACGGCUUACCAAGGCAACGAUGCGUAGCCGACCGGAGAGGGGGAUCGGCCACACUGGAACUGAGACACGGUCCAGACUCCUACGGGAGGCAGCAGUAGGGAAUCUUCCGCAAUGGGCGAAAGCUUGACGGAGCAACGCCGCGUGAGUGAUGAAGGUCUUCGGAUCGUAAAACUCUGUUAUUAGGGAAGAACAAAUGUGUAAGUAACUAUGCACGUCUUGACGGUACCUAAUCAGAAAGCCACGGCUAACUACGUG
This 497-nucleotide ribosomal RNA is filed under the name uncultured bacterium. RNAcentral describes it as "partial 16S ribosomal RNA". It matches the Rfam family "Bacterial small subunit ribosomal RNA", at positions 28 to 507 of the family's 1533-position model. The record is from RNAcentral.